Molecule: ribosomal RNA, 429 nt
Filed under: uncultured Lactobacillus sp.
Lineage: Bacteria; Bacillati; Bacillota; Bacilli; Lactobacillales; Lactobacillaceae
Description: bacterial SSU rRNA
Rfam family: Bacterial small subunit ribosomal RNA
Source: RNAcentral
UAGGGAAUCUUCCACAAUGGACGCAAGUCUGAUGGAGCAACGCCGCGUGAGUGAAGAAGGUUUUCGGAUCGUAAAGCUCUGUUGUUGGUGAAGAAGGAUGUGGAUAGUAACUGAUUCAUAUUUGACGGUAAUCAACCAGAAAGUCACGGCUAACUACGUGCCAGCAGCCGCGGUAAUACGUAGGUGGCAAGCGUUGUCCGGAUUUAUUGGGCGUAAAGCGAACGCAGGCGGGAGAACAAGUCAGCUGUGAAAGCCCUCGGCUUAACCGGGGAAUGUCAACUGAAACUGUUUUUCUUGAGUGCAGAAGAGGAGAGUGGAACUCCAUGUGUAGCGGUGGAAUGCGUAGAUAUAUGGAAGAACACCAGUGGCGAAGGCGGCUCUCUGGUCUGUAACUGACGCUGAGGUUCGAAAGCAUGGGUAGCGAACAGG